Molecule: ribosomal RNA, 301 nt
Filed under: uncultured bacterium
Lineage: Bacteria
Description: partial 16S ribosomal RNA
Rfam family: Bacterial small subunit ribosomal RNA
Source: RNAcentral
CAGUCGCCACGGUAAUACAGAGGCCUCAAGCGUUGUUCGGAUUCAUUGGGCGUAAAGGGAGCGUAGGCGGUCGGGUAAGUCGGAUGUGAAAUCUUGGGGCUCAACCUCAAAACUGCAUUCGAUACUGCUUGGCUAGAGGAAUGGAGGGGAGAUUGGAAUUCACGGUGUAGCAGUGAAAUGCGUAGAUAUCGUGAGGAAGACCAGUGGCGAAGGCGGAUCUCUGGACAUUUCCUGACGCUGACGCUCGAAGGCCAGGGGAGCAAACGGGAUUAGAUACCCCAGUAGUCCCUGUCUCUUAUAC